Molecule: ribosomal RNA, 321 nt
Filed under: uncultured eukaryote
Lineage: Eukaryota
Description: partial 18S ribosomal RNA
Rfam family: Eukaryotic small subunit ribosomal RNA
Source: RNAcentral
CCCUUAGAUGUUCUGGGCCGCACGCGUGCUACACUGAGUGGAUCAGCGGGUCAGGUUACGCGAGAGCGUUUCCUAAUCUUCAAUCCGCUCGUGAUGGGGAUUGACGGUUGCAAUUUUCCGUCAUGAACGAGGAAUACCUUGUAAGCGCGGGUCAUCAUCCCGCGCUGAAUACGUCCCUGCCCUUUGUACACACCGCCCGUCGCUCCUACCGAUUGAGUGGUCCGGUGAGGCUUUGGGAUCUAAGCGAAAAGAGCGUUUCGCUCCUUUUGCUGGGAGAACUCAGUCGAACCUUAUCAUUUAGAGGAAGGAGAAGUCGUAACA